Schistosoma curassoni is the source of this 42-nucleotide non-coding RNA. NCBI's taxonomy places the organism in Eukaryota, Metazoa, Platyhelminthes, Trematoda, Strigeidida, Schistosomatidae. The record is from Rfam.
AUCCAGCCGAAUCCCAAAUAGGUCGAAACGCGCGUCCUGGAU